AGAGUUUGAUUAUGGCUCAGAUUGAACGCUGGCGGAAUGCUUUACACAUGCAAGUCGAGCGGCAGCGCGGGGCAACCUGGCGGCGAGCGGCGAACGGGUGAGUAAUACAUCGGAACGUACCCUGUCGUGGGGGACAACGAAUCGAAAGAUUCGCUAAUACCGCAUACGACCUGAGGGUGAAAGCGGGGGAUCGCAAGACCUCGCGCGACUGGAGCGGCCGAUGUCGGAUUAGCUAGUUGGUGAGGUAAAGGCUCACCAAGGCGACGAUCCGUAGCGGGUCUGAGAGGACGGCCCGCCACACUGGGACUGAGACACGGCCCAGACUCCUACGGGAGCCAGCAGUGGGGAAUUUUGGACAAUGGGGGCAACCCUGAUCCAGCCAUUCCGCGUGAGUGAAGAAGGCCUUCGGGUUGUAAAGCUCUUUCGGCAGGAACGAAAAGGUGUGGGCUAAUACCCUGCAUCAAUGACGGUACCUGAAGAAGAAGCACCGGCUAACUACGUGCCAGCAGCCGCGGUAAUACGUAGGGUGCGAGCGUUAAUCGGAAUUACUGGGCGUAAAGCGUGCGCAGGCGGUUUUGUAAGACAGAUGUGAAAUCCCCGGGCUUAACCUGGGAACUGCGUUUGUGACUGCAAGACUCGAGUGUGGCAGAGGGGGGUGGAAUUCCACGUGUAGCAGUGAAAUGCGUAGAGAUGUGGAGGAACACCGAUGGCGAAGGCAGCCCCCUGGGUUAACACUGACGCUCAUGCACGAAAGCGUGGGUAGCAAACAGGAUUAGAUACCCUGGUAGUCCACGCCCUAAACGAUGCGAACUAGGUGUUGGGGAAGGAGACUUCCUUAGUACCGCAGCUAACGCGUGAAGUUCGCCGCCUGGGGAGUACGGUCGCAAGAUUAAAACUCAAAGGAAUUGACGG
RNAcentral lists this ribosomal RNA (912 nucleotides) under uncultured bacterium. RNAcentral describes it as "bacterial SSU rRNA". It matches the Rfam family "Bacterial small subunit ribosomal RNA", at positions 8 to 916 of the family's 1533-position model. The record is from RNAcentral.